Molecule: unclassified non-coding RNA, 489 nt
Filed under: Microcystis aeruginosa
Lineage: Bacteria; Bacillati; Cyanobacteriota; Cyanophyceae; Chroococcales; Microcystaceae
Description: partial miscellaneous RNA
Rfam family: Bacterial small subunit ribosomal RNA (bases 1-100)
Source: RNAcentral
CUCAACCGCAAGGAGGGGGAUGCCUAAGGCAGGGCUAGUGACUGGGGUGAAGUCGUAACAAGGUAGCCGUACCGGAAGGUGUGGCUGGAUCACCUCCUUAAAGGGAGACCUAAUUCAGGUAGGAGACGAAAAAAAAGUAGUCGCUACCAAGAAUCAAUCCCAAAAGGUCGGAGCGAGGCGAAAUUGGCUUUCAAACUAGGUUCUGGGUUCACACAAGACCUGAAUCAGGAACAAGGGCUAUUAGCUCAGGUGGUUAGAGCGCACCCCUGAUAAGGGUGAGGUCCCUGGUUCGAGUCCAGGAUGGCCCACCUGUACAGGUGGCAAAAAGAAAGAAAAGAAGCGAGGAAUCAGCACCUUAUCUUAUUUAUAUAGUAAGAGAGAAUGCUGGCUCUGAGUAAAGAGUCCAGAGGAACCUUGAAAACUGCAUAGAGCUAGGUGAAAAAGCCAAAAAAGAAGACCGCAAGGUCAAGCUAAUAAGGGCUAACGGUG